CGCGACCCCAGGUCAGGCGGGGCUACCCGCUGAGUUUAAGCAUAUCAAUAAGCGGAGGAAAAGA
Molecule: ribosomal RNA, 64 nt
Filed under: Acacia cincinnata
Lineage: Eukaryota; Viridiplantae; Streptophyta; Magnoliopsida; Fabales; Fabaceae
Description: partial large subunit ribosomal RNA
Rfam family: Eukaryotic large subunit ribosomal RNA
Source: RNAcentral